Molecule: ribosomal RNA, 544 nt
Filed under: Lactarius sp. 4 HL-2018
Lineage: Eukaryota; Fungi; Basidiomycota; Agaricomycetes; Russulales; Russulaceae
Description: LSU rRNA
Rfam family: Eukaryotic large subunit ribosomal RNA
Source: RNAcentral
AACUGCGAGUGAAGCGGGAAAAGCUCAAAUUUAAAAUCUGGCGGUCCUUGGCCGUCCGAGUUGUAAUUUAGAGAAGCGUCUUCCGCGCCGGACCGUGCACAAGUCUCCUGGAAUGGAGCGUCGUAGAGGGUGAGAAUCCCGUCUUUGGCACGGAUGCCCGGUGCUUCUGUGAUGCGCUCUCGAAGAGUCGAGUUGUUUGGGAAUGCAGCUCAAAAUGGGUGGUGAACUCCAUCUAAAGCUAAAUAUUGGCGAGAGACCGAUAGCGAACAAGUACCGUGAGGGAAAGAUGAAAAGCACUUUGGAAAGAGAGUGAAACAGUACGUGAAAUUGUUGAAAGGGAAACGCUUGAAGUCAGUCGCGUCGACCGAGACUCAGCCUCGCCUUGGCUUGGUGUACUUCUCGGGCCGACGGGUCAGCGUCGAUUUUGCCGCUCGGAAAAUGACAAGGGAAAGGUGGCACCUUUGCGGGUGUGUUAUAGUCUCCUGUCGGAUGCGAGGGGUGAGAUCGAGGAACUCAGCACGCGCCUUUUGGUGUCGGGGCUUCG